AAACCCUUUCAACUCACACAUCUCAAACAGUUACAACUAUUAGUACUCCAAACCUCUAAAGAAGAGAUAUUUAAAAAGAGAAAUGGAUAACACAUCUACGAAGCUGGUUUCACUUGUUGUGCUAUUGAUUUUCAUCGCGGGUAUUUAAUUUUUUUUCUCUUUGGUGGCAAUAUUAUUUUUUGAAAAAUGUGAAUAUAAUUUGAAAAUAUUUGACUAAUUGUAUAAUCGGACAAUACAAUUGUAGGCGAGACUUCGAACAUCCAAGCAGAAGGAGCAAGAGAUAACAUUUACAUUCCAUGCCUUGUAUGCCUUCCUCCAUGCAUUUGCUUUCUUACAAAAUGUCAUUGUCCCAACGAUUCACCGUUGACUUCCAAACCACACGACGGCCCCAGGGUGUCGUCAGAGAAUCCGCCACUGCCUUCCCAGUAGAAUUGGAAAAAACAAUGAAGUAUUAAUUACUAAUGUAGUCUUGGUCGGGAGAGGAACUUGUAACUUACAUUUGUUUGAAGUUAUCAAUAAUCAAGUACUCUACUAAAUUUCUUCUUUUAUUAAAGUUAACAAAUUGAAAAUGAA
This 573-nucleotide long non-coding RNA is filed under the name Linum usitatissimum (flax). RNAcentral describes it as "long non-coding RNA (LUSI_LNC005801)". The record is from RNAcentral. Lineage: Eukaryota; Viridiplantae; Streptophyta; Magnoliopsida; Malpighiales; Linaceae.